This 774-nucleotide ribosomal RNA is filed under the name uncultured Neocallimastigales. RNAcentral describes it as "partial large subunit ribosomal RNA". It matches the Rfam family "Eukaryotic large subunit ribosomal RNA", at positions 24 to 649 of the family's 3401-position model. The record is from RNAcentral. Lineage: Eukaryota; Fungi; Neocallimastigomycota; Neocallimastigomycetes; Neocallimastigales.
UACGACUACAUAUCAGGCAUAUCAAUAAGCGGAGGAAAAGAAACUAACAAGGAUUCCCUUAGUAACGGCGAGUGAAGCGGGAAGAGCUCAAAUUUGAAAUCUUCAAGGUUCUACCUUGACGAAUUGUAGUUUAAAGAAGUGUUUUCUGUUAGAUGAGUAGCAAAAGUUCCUUGGAAUGGGACAUCAUAGAGGGUGAGAAUCCCGUAUUUGGUUAUUCAUUCUAGCUUUGUGAUACACUUUCAAAGAGUCGGAUUGUUUGGGAAUGCAGUCCAAAAUGGGUGGUAAAUUUCAUCUAAAGCUAAAUAUUGGCGAGAGACCGAUAGCGAACAAGUACUGUGAGGGAAAGAUGAAAAGAACUUUGAAAAGAGAGUUAAACAGUACGUGAAAUUGUCAAAAGGGAAGCGUUUGACACCAGUGUUGUUUUUCCGAAAAUCAAUUACGAAUGGCUUGAUUUUGUGUUGUAUUGACCUUAUCAGCUUUCUUCACUUUUUUCGAGUCUUUCUUAAUGCACUUUUCGGUUAACAAGUCAACAUCAAUUUCUUUUGUUGUAAAAGAGUAUUCGGAAGGUGGCUUUCUUUUCGGAGAAAGUGUUUAUAGCCCUAUACUUCUACAAUCGGAGAGAUUGAGGUCUGCAGCGUAGAUCCUUCGGGGUUAGAUACACUUGUGCUAAGUUGUAGCUUUUCAUAGACAACUUGUUGACUAUGUUUAGUCAUGCGGCUUACUCGCUUGUGCUAUUUUACCUACGCUUAGGAUGUUGAAUAGCGACAUACGCAC